Long non-coding RNA from Durio zibethinus, 552 nucleotides. RefSeq lists it as uncharacterized. Lineage: Eukaryota; Viridiplantae; Streptophyta; Magnoliopsida; Malvales; Malvaceae. The record is from RefSeq and is a predicted model, not a curated record.
CUUAAUAUUCCUUUGCUUGCUUAUAUAUAUCUUUAUACCUACAAUAAGAUGAUAAGCAAAAAGAAAAACCAAAUCUUUCCUUAACUUCGAAGGUUUAGAAAGGAAAGAAAAAUUGGGCAAGUUUCAGUGAUUUUAUUGAUCAAUUAUGGUAGAAUCCACGCCGCACCGAGUACAAGGAUAUCCUGGGGAGAACAGCCCUGGACGCUCAGCAGGGAAGACGAAAUGUUGUCCAACUUCAACAAAGAAAGGGGAUGGAGGGUUCAUGAAUUUGCUCUGCAAGGCUUUGGGCUGCUGUGGACUCCUUUCAGCUUGCUAUGAACCUCGUACUUCUCAGCAAAAAGGAUAGGAGCUACAAAUGGCAAAGAUCAUUUCAAAAUAUUAAAAUUUGAAAAUGAAAAAUUAUUUUUGUUUCUUUAACAAAUCAUUUAUGUAAAUGAGGGAGACUACUUGCUAUUUAUACAAUAACUUUAUCCUUUUUCAACUUUCAGAAUUUUGCCUACCUAAAGCAAAAAUAAAUUACAGUUUUUAAUUAAUUGAUUUGAGACUACAAGC